AGUGAACGCUGGCGGUAGGCCUAACACAUGCAAGUCGAACGGCAGCACAAUAAGCUUUCGCCUCUACCGGUGGCGACUGGCGGACGGGUGACGCAUACAUCGCCAUCUACUUUUUCUUGGGGAACUACGGAGGAAAACUGCCGCUAAUAGCGCAUACGAUCUACGGCAUAGAGCAAGGGUUCAUCGGAGCUUUCCCGAUUGUAUUAGCCGGUGUCGGAUUAGCUAGUUGGCGAGGUAAAGUCCCACCAAGGCGACGAUCCGUAGCUGAUCUGAGAGGAUGAUCAGCCACACUGGAACUGAGACACGGUCCAGACUCCUACGGGAGGCAGCAGUGGGGAAUAUUGGGCAAUGGGCGCAAGCCUGAUCCAGCAAUACCGCGUGAGUGAAGAAGGCCUUCGGAUUGUAAAGCCCUUUUGUUGGGAAAGAAAAGCAGCAGAAUAAAACCCGGAUGUUCUGACGGUACCCAAAGAGAAAGCCCCGGCUAACUUCGUG
Molecule: ribosomal RNA, 492 nt
Filed under: uncultured bacterium
Lineage: Bacteria
Description: partial 16S ribosomal RNA
Rfam family: Bacterial small subunit ribosomal RNA
Source: RNAcentral